This 1346-nucleotide ribosomal RNA is filed under the name uncultured bacterium. Its description in RNAcentral is "partial 16S ribosomal RNA". It matches the Rfam family "Bacterial small subunit ribosomal RNA", at positions 28 to 1381 of the family's 1533-position model. The record is from RNAcentral.
GACGAACGCUUGCGGCGUGCUUAACACAUGCAAGUCGAACGGAAAGGCCCUGCUUUUGUGGGGUGCUCGAGUGGCGAACGGGUGAGUAACACGUGAGUAACCUGCCCUUGACUUUGGGAUAACUUCAGGAAACUGGGGCUAAUACCGGAUAGGAGCUCCUGCUGCAUGGUGGGGGUUGGAAAGUUUCGGCGGUUGGGGAUGGACUCGCGGCUUAUCAGCUUGUUGGUGGGGUAGUGGCUUACCAAGGCUUUGACGGGUAGCCGGCCUGAGAGGGUGACCGGCCACAUUGGGACUGAGAUACGGCCCAGACUCCUACGGGAGGCAGCAGUGGGGAAUAUUGCACAAUGGGCGGAAGCCUGAUGCAGCAACGCCGCGUGCGGGAUGACGGCCUUCGGGUUGUAAACCGCUUUCGCCUGUGACGAAGCGUGAGUGACGGUAAUGGGUAAAGAAGCACCGGCUAACUACGUGCCAGCAGCCGCGGUGAUACGUAGGGUGCGAGCGUUGUCCGGAUUUAUUGGGCGUAAAGGGCUCGUAGGUGGUUGAUCGCGUCGGAAGUGUAAUCUUGGGGCUUAACCCUGAGCGUGCUUUCGAUACAGGUUGACUUGAGGAAGGUAGGGGAGAAUGGAAUUCCUGGUGGAGCGGUGGAAUGCGCAGAUAUCAGGAGGAACACCAGUGGCGAAGGCGGUUCUCUGGGCCUUUCCUGACGCUGAGGAGCGAAAGCGUGGGGAGCGAACAGGCUUAGAUACCCUGGUAGUCCACGCUGUAAACGGUGGGUACUAGGUGUGGGGUCCAUUCCACGGGUUCCGUGCCGUAGCUAACGCUUUAAGUACCCCGCCUGGGGAGUACGGCCGCAAGGCUAAAACUCAAAGGAAUUGACGGGGCCCCGCACAAGCGGCGGAGCAUGCGGAUUAAUUCGAUGCAACGCGUAGAACCUUACCUGGGUUUGACAUGGAUCGGGAGUGCUCAGAGAUGGGUGUGCCUCUUUUGGGGUCGGUUCACAGGUGGUGCAUGGCUGUCGUCAGCUCGUGUCGUGAGAUGUUGGGUUAAGUCCCGCAACGAGCGCAACCCUUGUUCACUGUUGCCAGCACGUUAUGGUGGGGACUCAGUGGAGACCGCCGGGGUCAACUCGGAGGAAGGUGGGGAUGACGUCAAGUCAUCAUGCCCCUUAUGUCCAGGGCUUCACGCAUGCUACAAUGGCUGGUACAGAGAGUGGCGAGCCUGUGAGGGUGAGCGAAUCUCGGAAAGUCGGUCUCAGUUCGGAUUGGGGUCUGCAACUCGACCUCAUGAAGUCGGAGUCGCUAGUAAUCGCAGAUCAGCAACGCUGCGGUGAAUACGUUCCCGGGGCU